Molecule: long non-coding RNA, 713 nt
Filed under: Aquilegia coerulea
Lineage: Eukaryota; Viridiplantae; Streptophyta; Magnoliopsida; Ranunculales; Ranunculaceae
Description: long non-coding RNA (ACOE_LNC000115)
Source: RNAcentral
AAAAACAAAAUCUACAAAGCCUCUUGUUAAGUAGUAGUUCUGAUAUGCAACAUGAACAUCCAUGUGCAUCCUCAGCAACACGUUCAAUUGAUUGAUUCGUCAAAAACACUAGGAGGAAGACAAAAACAAAGCUUAAUCAUAAUUAAGAAAAAAAACAAACCAAAAUUAAAUAAUUAUCAAAUUAAAAAUAAACAAUCUAUUUUAAAACAUCACUAAAAUGUUAAAAGCACUACAUAAUGAAUCCAAAAACAAAUAAGUAAACAGCAAAUUCAAAAAAAAAAAAAAAAAAAACCCUAAUAAUAAUAAUCCUGCUUAACUACACAAUAAUAUCUGAAAAAAUUUCAAAAAAAAACAAAUGUUGUUGAAACCAAUGAAAUUGAGAUUUCAAAAUCUCCAUAAAUGCAUAACAGAUUAAAUCUGAUAGGAUAAAAGAGUGAAUGAAUGGAAGAAUAACACAGCCAGAAAUCAUGUAGAUAAAUUUUAAAUUAACGAAGAAAGAAAUCGCACAAACCUUGUUCUAGGGUUUCUUGAUAAGAAUACUACUCUUUGUUGAUUUUCCUACAAGUUUUGUUGGAUUUGGAAAAAAUAAGUUAUGAUGAUUUUAGACGAAAAAAAAGAGUUUUAAUUAAGAAAGAGAAGAGAAAGUGUUUGAGAUAAGUUGUUGGUUUGGUUGACGUGAUUAUCAAGUCGUCCCGUUUAACAAUGAAUAAUCG